GGAUCCCUGCCCAAGGCUCCCGCGCGGCCCGGAGGACUCUCACCCGGGACGCAGGCCUCCUGCGCUCCAGGUGGAAGGCCUGUCUCGUGGCUUCCCCCGCGAAAGUUUGCAACAAAGGCAACGAAUUAAACAUGCAGACCCAGCCUUGAACAACAGGAAAAGGCAGGAACUUUUCCAUCUUUGUUGCUUCAGGGACAAGGACGGAGGAAAAUAAGUAACACCGCCCCCCUCCCCGAACAAUCCUCGCGCUUCAGUCUUGACUGGAAAGAGCCAGCCAGGGAGUCUGGUCCAGAAAGGAGGCCUGGCAUCACGCUGUGGGGACAUUCAAUCAUGGAGCAUGGGGACAGGCCCAUAUGAGGAGGACUGAGGCUCCCUCCAGCAUCCGGCACCACCGUGGGAGCCAUGUAAGUGAGCAGCACACCACCUUGGAAGUGGACCUCCAGCCUGUCAAGCCUUCAGAUCUGCAGCCCUGGCAGAGAUCUUGAGACCCUCAUGAAAGACCCAGAGCCAGAACUGCCCAAACUACUCCUGAAUUCUUGGCUCACAGAAAUUGUGAGGAAUAAAUGUUUAUUGCUAUUUUAA
Manis pentadactyla (Chinese pangolin) is the source of this 582-nucleotide long non-coding RNA. RefSeq lists it as uncharacterized. The transcript has 3 exons. NCBI's taxonomy places the organism in Eukaryota, Metazoa, Chordata, Mammalia, Pholidota, Manidae. The record is from RefSeq and is a predicted model, not a curated record.